GAUGAACGCUGGCGGCGUGCCUAAUACAUGCAAGUCGAGCGAACAGACGAGGAGCUUGCUCCUCUGACGUUAGCGGCGGACGGGUGAGUAACACGUGGAUAACCUACCUAUAAGACUGGGAUAACUUCGGGAAACCGGAGCUAAUACCGGAUAAUAUAUUGAACCGCAUGGUUCAAUAGUGAAAGACGGUUUUGCUGUCACUUAUAGAUGGAUCCGCGCCGCAUUAGCUAGUUGUUAAGGUAACGGGUUACCACGGCGACGAUGCGUAGCCGACCGAAGAGGGGGAUCGGCCACACUGGAACGGAGACACGGUCCAGACUCCUACGGGAGGCAGCAGUAGGGAAUCUUCCGCAAUAGGCGAAAGCCUGACGGAGCAACGCCGAGUGAGUGAUGAAGGUCUUCGGAUCGUAAAAAUCUGUUAUUAGGGAAGAACAAAUGUGUAAGUAACUAUGCACGUCUUGACGGUACCUAAUCAGAAAGCCACGGCUAACUACGUG
RNAcentral lists this ribosomal RNA (497 nucleotides) under uncultured bacterium. RNAcentral's name for it is "partial 16S ribosomal RNA". It matches the Rfam family "Bacterial small subunit ribosomal RNA", at positions 28 to 507 of the family's 1533-position model. The record is from RNAcentral.